Molecule: unclassified non-coding RNA, 4421 nt
Filed under: Leishmania donovani
Lineage: Eukaryota; Euglenozoa; Kinetoplastea; Trypanosomatida; Trypanosomatidae
Description: gene:LdHU3.13.1470(CDS-product:hypothetical_prote in_conserved)
Source: RNAcentral
AUGGCUUCCUCUGUUUUUUUACACCCUACCACUUCACCCCCCAUCCCUUCUCUCUCGCGUGCGGCUCUUACAUAGAGUGCACGGUUCACCGGACCAACUCUCACGUUAGAAGCACACGCGCUUUUCCGGUCGUUCGCACUUCCUUGUUGGGGGUAGGGGGAAGAGAAAACGAAAAGGAAGUCGGGUCGGUGUGAACGUUGCACACCCGGUGCCCACCCCCCUCCCUUAUAACUAGACGGUGGCUUGGCAUUGGCGUGGACGUUGUCGGCGAUUGGCGCGGGCCCUCUCCCUCCAUCCCCCGUAGUGCUCCCUUAAGCCUCUCCCCUCCCCCUCUUUGCCAUAGAGAGAUCUCUUGUGUGUAACGCUUUCUUGUUUCUUUUCGCCCUCUCUCAGAGAGUCGCUUCGUCUUUCUCUUCUCAAAUCUUCCUGUCGACCCCCCCCUCCUCCUCCUUCCCUCCCUCCCUCCCUCCCUCCGCUUAGCGGCGCUCAUUGAGGACGGCAGUGUGCAAGCGGCCAGCUACACCAGCGUCGCCGUUGCCCACCACACGACGUCCUCGAACUUCCUAACGAUGUCCUUCGGAGCUGCCGGGGUCGAGUUGGUUGGCGCGGUCCCUGUGACGGGCGGCGUCAGAGCCCUCGCGACCAUCGCGGCGAGCACGCGCAGACACGUUCACCUCACCGACUGUGACGCUUCGACCACUGAUAGUGUUGGUGGCGACGCGGGUGGUGCGGGCGGCUGCUCAGUCAGACAAGCACCUCCUUCGCACUUGGUAAUGAGCGAAUCUGCUGUUGCCGGCACGUCCAUCGCGCGCGACAGCCACACUUGCUCUGGUGGCAUCGGCAUGCGGGCCGGCUCUGCGGCGGCGACCACCAUGGCCGAGGCGGUCGACAGAUGCUUGACAGCUGCUCAAAACAGCGAGCGCGACGAGGAAAGGUGCCGUAGCAGCGGCAGCCCUCACCAUGACUGUCUCGUAAAGCCGACAGGAACAGCUGCGGCAAAGGCGCGCCAGUACCCGGUGACGGUGGCCGCUCCGCAGGCACUUCCAACCUCCUCCACGUCGCUAGCAUCCUCGCCUCGCUCGGCGAAGAUGGAAAGCUCAAGCCGCAUCCUCGACAAGCUUCCACAGCAACGCCAGCAACCGGUUUCUCCAGGGAGCCCUUCCUCGCACGCUGUCUCGUCUACCGCCGUGCCUGUGCAGCACCUUUACCGCGUGCCUUCAGCCUUCUACGCGCACAACAGCUUCACGUCGUCGGCGGCGCUGUCGGCCGCACGCAACCACCGUGGCCAUGGCGACACAUUCACAGGCCCGGCUCCCCCUCGUAUCUCCGCCGAGGGCCCCACGCACAGGCAGCUGCGGCUGCCACCGGAAGCGAAUCGCUCCCCAAGCGGCAUGGAUGCGCUGGAGGAGCGUGCUCAUCGCGCGGCGGAGUUGCAUGCAAGUUGUGGUAUCUGCGAGGAGUCCGAGACAGUGCUGCCCUGGUCAACGGGUAGCCGCUCGGGUGAGGCAGGACGGACCCAAGUGCCGGUGCCCUCGUCGUUGCUGACGGUACAGGUGGCCCGCGGGUACCGCAUCUCCCGCCAUCCGUCCGGACUGGGCGCUGAAGAAAGGCCGCCAUCAGAUGUCGGGAGCGUCCGAUUAGUGCCCGGGUCAAAGCGACGGCGCCGGCCCGAGCGCAUGGGGAGCUCUGCGGCUGCGCAGCUGGACCAGCGCCUCAGCUACACAAGCAGCCAUGACGGUGGCGGUGGCGCGGCGGUGCCGAUGCGGCGUCUAGCAUCGCCGUCCACGUCAUCUUCGUCAUCGGUGGCGUUGGCGUCUCCACAGUCGCCGGCGACGGCUCUCGUUUCCGCGGCGGCGCCAGCAAGUGGUAUCAGCGCUACCCGGCCACCGGCUGCAUCGCCGCCGUUCAACGCACUCCUCGCUGCCUUUGGCCCUGCACCGUCUGGGAUAGCUGCAUUGACAGCCGGUGCCAUUGGUCCGCCUCUGGCAACUGCUACUGUGCCUCCCACGCGACCGCCUGCGUGGUUGCGGCCGUGGCUGUCGCACGCCCUCUCGCGCGCUAUGGCUGCUCAUCUCGAGCGCGACGCGGACACCGUCACCGCGGCUGCUAGCUCUGCGGCUACCUCCACCCAGGGCCUAGAUUCAUUUUUUCCUGUUGCGCAUGCGGCUACCGCUACCGCGUCGGUGGCCUCCGCCUCAGCGCAGCCGUGCACGCUACGGUCCGCGCUGCUGCUUAUCUUCGAUGGACUAGAACGAUUUGAGGCGGACCUGGCGGAGGUGUUGUCGGACGGACCGAGGACGCACGGCUCCUCCAAUUUUUUUCAGGGCGUGGAUGUUCGUGACUGUCGCGCCUCCUUUUCAUUUUUCCCAUCUCCGCCUGCAGCAGCGGCUGCCUCCGGCGUAUUCGAUGAACUUGUCGAGCAGCUGCGCCGUCUCAUGCGGCAGUGGUGCGAAGUGCUCUCCCAGUGGCCAUGCGAAGCAGCGACGCUCGGUUAUGUGGAGUGGUGGAUGGGCCACCCGGCUUGGGCCGAUCUUGUAGCGUGUGACACCGCCAUUCCCGCCACCUUGAGCGUGUCUUCGGCGACGCCAGCGGCUAUGAAUCGAAAGGAGACGACUGGGCGGCGGACUGAGACCAGCCAUGGUGGUGAACUACAGCCGCCUCAACCGCAGCCGCCAGAGGCUGCCUUUGUUCUGCAAGGCAUCCUCGCAGCUGUUGUGACAGAAGGCAUGCGCACGCUGCUGGAUGCGUUGGUGGACGCGUUUGUGCGCGCCGUCAGUGAGCUGCUACACAGCACUGCUGUCAUUGGUCAGCCUCGAAGCGCGUCACAAACUACCUCUUGCCCCGAUCUGCAGGCAGAAGUCGCUGUCGCUGCAUUCGCUAAGGCACAGCACACCUGCCUGGCGCUCCUCCGCCUUCUCACGUCUCUCUACGUGAGCCCACCCCGAGUUCUCCAGCAGCUUCGGACGCUGGUGCAAGUUGACGGCUGUUGCGGCACCGCGUUGACGGGCGGGACUGCGAACGAUGAUGCGAAAACGACGACACGGCAUGAAGAUGAAGGCUCGCCAGCGUCGCCGGCUAGUCUCUCCACUGCCACUGCUGCGGUCGUUGCCGGUGAGGAUCGCCAGCACCAGCUGCACCCGCACCCGCAUCCGUCAUCUUCGUCUUUGUCAACGCCGCGCGGUGGGCCUCCUGGCUCGCCGUCCGCGUCACGAGUGUGCAUCAGUGCACUGGACAAUUCGCAGCUGCGGUCACGGGCGUGCCAGCUACACUACCAGCUCCUCUACGCUGUAUGCCGUCUCUGCAACGAAUUGCCCAUGCUCUGGCAGCCACAGGACGACACUCGAAAUGCUGAGGAGGACGAGGAGGGCAACGGUGUGCGGGCCAGCAGCGCCGCCUACAUGCACCUUUCGCCCCGUCUUAGGCACGACGGUGAAUGCAAGAUGGCAAAACUAACCUUGUUUGCGACGGCGGCACGGUUGGCGGCCACCGUAUCGGCUUUGCUUCUCCACGUUCAGCUGCCGAUGAAGGGAGACCUGCUGUGUGUCGCGAGUCGCCUGGCACAGUGGCGUGCGACGCUGCUCCGGUCAUCGUGCAUGAGCGAGCGCGAGUAUGCGGCGGCGAUGGGUCACCUCUGCGCGCUCAUGGCACAGGCCACGUGAUUUUCAGUGAUGUCGCCCGACGUAAUUGAUUCACCAUGUAGAAGACAUGAUCAGAGUGUGAUGCAGCGAUGAAUGCAGAGGGGCGAGGGAGUAGAGCGGGCGCACUAUCGAAAGGAGGAGUAGGAAGCAAAAGAUGGAGCAUGGUGUGAUGCAAAGUCUGUGCGGAGAGGGAAGAGGCUGCACGCGGCAGUGACGCAGUGACCGGCACCACUCCCUUCCUCCACCAAUAGCCCUCAUGCGCGCUCAUGCACACUCACAAUACAAGCACGCGCACAGGAACAGAGGUGCUGUGGAUGUCUCGAUGGACAAUCUCGCUAUGUGUUUGGCCCUUUCCCUCUCCCUCCCGUCUCUCUUCCUGCCCUGGCACCAGCACCCGAGGGGAUGUGUGCCUGGAUGUGUUGUUGGUUGAUGAAUGGCUGAGUGUACGUGUGUAUAUCUACACGCGCCGCGAGUGUGCCGUAGCCUCUGCGUUUUUUUAUCCCCCCCCCCCCUCUCUCUCUUUAAUGAUGCCUGAGAGAGGGUCUGUGUGUAAGAGGGAGACUCUGGAGAGGAGAGGGAGUGGUGUGCGCUGGUGGAGGACGACUCUGUCGACUUCUCCUCGUAGCGCCCCACUCGUCUCCUUUGUUUCCCUCCCUCCAUCCUUCUCUUUUUUUCUCGCUACAACCCAAGCCGCCGCCACGCCCCCGACCCUCUCUGCCCCCCCCCCCUCUCAAUGACAGCGCAUGGAGGGCAGCGGCGUCUAACUAACGUUACAAGAGAAGG